CCUACGGGUGACAGCAGUGAGGAAUAUUGGUCAAUGGACGAGAGUCUGAACCAGCCAAGUAGCGUGAAGGAUGACUGCCCUAUGGGUUGUAAACUUCUUUUAUAUGGGAAUAAAACGUUCCACGUGUGGGAUUUUGUAUGUACCAUAUGAAUAAGGAUCGGCUAACUCCGUGCCAGCAGCCGCGGUAAUACGGAGGAUCCGAUCGUUAUCCGGAUUUAUUGGGUUUAAAGGGAGCGUAGGUGGAUUGUUAAGUCAGUUGUGAAAGUUUGCGGCUCAACCGUAAAAUUGCAGUUGAAACUGGCAGUCUUGAGUACAGUAGAGGUGGGCGGAAUGCGUGGUGUAGCGGUGAAAUGCUUAGAUAUCACGAAGAACUCCGAUUGCGAAGGCAGUUCACUGGACUGCAACUGACACUGAGGCUCGAAAGUGUGGGUAUCAAACAGGAUUAGAUACCCUUGUAGUC
This 460-nucleotide ribosomal RNA is filed under the name uncultured bacterium. RNAcentral's name for it is "partial 16S ribosomal RNA". It matches the Rfam family "Bacterial small subunit ribosomal RNA", at positions 338 to 795 of the family's 1533-position model. The record is from RNAcentral.